AAACUCUCAUGGUGUGACGGGCGGUGUGUACAAGGCCCGGGAACGUAUUCACCGCGGCGUGCUGAUCCGCGAUUACUAGCGAUUCCGACUUCGUGUAGGCGAGUUGCAGCCUACAGUCCGAACUGAGAAUGGCUUUAAGAGAUUAGCUUGACCUCGCGGUCUCGCAACUCGUUGUACCAUCCAUUGUAGCACGUGUGUAGCCCAGGUCAUAAGGGGCAUGAUGAUUUGACGUCAUACCCACCUUCCUCCGGUUUGUCACCGGCAGUCUUACUAGAGUGCCCAACUAAAUGCUGGCAACUAGUCAUAAGGGUUGCGCUCGUUGCGGGACUUAACCCAACAUCUCACGACACGAGCUGACGACAACCAUGCACCACCUGUCAUUUUGCCCCCGAAGGGGAAACCUGAUCUCUCAGGUGAUCAAAAGAUGUCAAGACCUGGUAAGGUUCUUCGCGUUGCUUCGAAUUAAACCACAUGCUCCACCGCUUGUGCGGGCCCCCGUCAAUUCCUUUGAGUUUCAACCUUGCGGUCGUACUCCCCA
This 538-nucleotide ribosomal RNA is filed under the name Lacticaseibacillus rhamnosus. RNAcentral describes it as "Lactobacillus rhamnosus partial 16S ribosomal RNA". The record is from RNAcentral. Lineage: Bacteria; Bacillati; Bacillota; Bacilli; Lactobacillales; Lactobacillaceae.